RNAcentral lists this ribosomal RNA (438 nucleotides) under uncultured bacterium. RNAcentral's name for it is "partial 16S ribosomal RNA". It matches the Rfam family "Bacterial small subunit ribosomal RNA", at positions 339 to 795 of the family's 1533-position model. The record is from RNAcentral.
CUACGGGCGGCUCCAGUGAGGAAUAUUGCACAAUGGAGGAAACUCUGAUGCAGCAACGCCGCGUGGAGGAUGACGCAUUUCGGUGUGUAAACUCCUUUUAUGAGUCAAGAAAAUGACGGUAGCUCAUGAAUAAGCACCGGCUAACUCCGUGCCAGCAGCCGCGGUAAUACGGAGGGUGCAAGCGUUACUCGGAAUCACUGGGCGUAAAGGACGCGUAGGCGGGAUAUCAAGUCAGGUGUGAAAUCCUACAGCUUAACUGUAGAACUGCACUUGAAACUGGUAACCUAGAGUAUGGGAGGGGGAGAUGGAAUUAGUGGUGUAGGGGUAAAAUCCGUAGAUAUCACUAGGAAUACCUAAAGCGAAGGCGAUCUCCUGGAACAUAACUGACGCUAAGGCGUGAAAGCGUGGGGAGCAAACAGGAUUAGAUACCCUUGAGUC